AAUUCUCAAUCUCUACAACUUUUGUUGUUAGCAGGUUGGAUGUGGGGGCUUUUAUUGUGGGCGUUACAACCCACUCCCCUGAAAUGAAUUAGCUGGAAUGCCUCGGCAAAUCCAACUAUCAGUGUGAUAAAUAUCUACUGUGGUUGUUGCUUUUUGAGGGUAUCUGCUUCUCAACUGUCUGCAAAGACAACUUGAAUCA
RNAcentral lists this unclassified non-coding RNA (199 nucleotides) under Conocybe apala. Its description in RNAcentral is "partial internal transcribed spacer 2". Lineage: Eukaryota; Fungi; Basidiomycota; Agaricomycetes; Agaricales; Bolbitiaceae. The record is from RNAcentral.